UCAGAGCCCGGCUCCCCGCGCUCCGCCUACUCUUCGGACGACAGCGGCUGCGAGGGCGCACUCAGCCCCGCGGAGCGCGAGCUGCUCGACUUCUCCAGCUGGUUGGGGGGCUACUGAGCGCCCCGCGCCGCGAGCAGCCCAGCCCUGGACGCCUAGCGACGUCCGCGCUCAGCACCUGGGAGCCAGCACGGUGGACCGCCCGCGCCUCGCUCUCUGCCGUCCCGCGAGCCAAGCCACCACCCAGCCAGGACCCCCGCCGACGCUCCCCUGGGCGUCCAACCUGACUACGUACCAAUGUGGAAAUGGGUUCCGCCCAACACGGCCCGACCACCUCACCCCAGAGGCUCUCCACGGAGACCGGACGGGGCUGGGGCACUGACCCCCCGAGGUUUUCCUGACGGGAGAGAUUUAACGGCACAGAGUAUCUGCUUUUUGUACCUGAACUUGAACUGCCCAGGGACACUGGCAAUAUGAAGACUUAUUUUUGUGCAAAGACUCGUUAACUUGGAACAUGAUAAAGAUGGUCUCUCCCUGUCCAGCCGCCAGUACCUGGACUUUUCCAGCCUGGCCUAGAUCUGGCCGUGGCAGCCUUUGAGGGACAGGGUCCCUGGCUGGGGUCCCUAAGCAGCAGUGGGCUGACCUGGGUGGGGUUGGGGGGGGCUGUGCUGGGAAACCUGUUUUAGGGAAAAUGGACUAUGAAUAAACCAGUGCUGUGUA
Molecule: long non-coding RNA, 717 nt
Organism: Pteropus alecto (black flying fox)
Lineage: Eukaryota; Metazoa; Chordata; Mammalia; Chiroptera; Pteropodidae
Exons: 2
Source: RefSeq, a predicted model, not a curated record